This 332-nucleotide ribosomal RNA is filed under the name uncultured bacterium. Its description in RNAcentral is "bacterial SSU rRNA". It matches the Rfam family "Bacterial small subunit ribosomal RNA", at positions 568 to 898 of the family's 1533-position model. The record is from RNAcentral.
CGUGUAGGCGGGAAGGUAAGUCAGAUGUGAAAUUCCAGGGCUCAACUCUGGCGCUGCAUCUGAAACUAUCUUUCUUGAGUGAUGGAGAGGAAAGUGGAAUUCCUAGUGUAGCGGUGAAAUGCGUAGAUAUUAGGAGGAACACCAGUGGCGAAGGCGACUUUCUGGACAUUAACUGACGCUGAGGCGCGAAAGCGUGGGGAGCAAACAGGAUUAGAUACCCUGGUAGUCCACGCUGUAAACGAUGGAUACUAGGUGUAGGGGGUAUCGACCCCCCCUGUGCCGGAGUUAACACAAUAAGUAUCCCACCUGGGGAGUACGGCCGCAAGGUUGAA